CUUUCCGUGGUCCAGACGGCCAGGACACCCGGCUGUAACCCGGGAGGCGCAGGUUCGAUCCCUGCCGGAAAGC
Molecule: transfer RNA, 73 nt
Filed under: Halobacteriales archaeon QS_8_69_26
Lineage: Archaea; Methanobacteriati; Methanobacteriota; Halobacteria; Halobacteriales
Description: tRNA-Tyr
Rfam family: tRNA
About the family: Transfer RNA (tRNA) molecules are approximately 80 nucleotides in length.
Source: RNAcentral